RNAcentral lists this long non-coding RNA (432 nucleotides) under Phoenix dactylifera (date palm). RNAcentral describes it as "long non-coding RNA (PDAC_LNC010030)". The record is from RNAcentral. Lineage: Eukaryota; Viridiplantae; Streptophyta; Magnoliopsida; Arecales; Arecaceae.
GAUUGCUCUUUCUUUUUAUGCGAACCAUUCUUGAUAAUUUUAGACAACCUGAGAUAUUCUGAAAAUUUGAUGGAUCAGGCUCUAAUAAAUUGUAGAAAACACUUGUGAACUUGAGUAGUGCACCUAAAACUCAGGCGGUGCCCUGUUGUGAUUGUUAGAUGUAUGCCCUAGAAGCCAAUUUGGCUGACACAUUGUUGAUUCUAGGGACAUAAUUUUGUACUUGACUAUUUAUUAUUGAAUAAAUAAAAGGCAUCUUUUUCAUUCAUAUUGUUUACGUGUCUAUGAAUCGUCCAAGAAAUUAAUAAGAUGAUGAUACAUAUUCUCAAGAGUUGAGAAUUUGAGCCAUGUAUCAUUUGUGAUUAAUUUCUAAAUGCUCCUGAUCAAAGGAUCAUCACGAGGACGGUGAUCGAUCCGAUCAGUGCACAGAUCACU